CAAAAGCUCUUUUAGGUCCACAAU
RNAcentral lists this non-coding RNA (24 nucleotides) under Rattus norvegicus (Norway rat). Lineage: Eukaryota; Metazoa; Chordata; Mammalia; Rodentia; Muridae. The record is from RNAcentral.